This 286-nucleotide long non-coding RNA is filed under the name Medicago truncatula (barrel medic). RNAcentral describes it as "long non-coding RNA (MTRU_LNC000357)". The record is from RNAcentral. Lineage: Eukaryota; Viridiplantae; Streptophyta; Magnoliopsida; Fabales; Fabaceae.
GAGAUUUCGGACUAGAUCUUGGAGUUGUCGCGGGAGUAUGAGGCGGAAACCAAGGAACAUUCCAAAAAGGAGCAGGGUAAAAUGACAUGGGAAAUCCCGGAGGACACAAAGUUUGCGGCGAGGGAAUUGCGCCAGAACUCCAAGUAUAAGGCCAAGGAACACUAGUCAUACAUGGAACUUGGGGAAUGAAACCAUUAUUUUUCUGUGGCAAUGAUUCUUGUGUCAUGUUUUUACCACUUUCCUCCAUGGAUUUUGAAACUGUAACAGAAGACGCACUUGAAAAACG